UGCAGAGACGUAAAAAUCAACAUAGAGAUUUUUUCGGCUGAAGCUUCAGAGGUUCGGCGACCACUUCUAAUGCCUAAUCCCCUAUUGAACAUCCAUUAAAAAUUGAUAAAGUUUGGUUGCACUAUAAAGCCAAAAAACUGGCUACAAGAAUAUACAAUAUUGUUCCAGAAAUUACAAAGACCAAGUACGAGACUUAUCUUUAAGAGAAAUCACAAUGCUGACCACUAUACACCAAGGAAUCAACCCCAGAUCACAUAAAUCUAUGAAAAACCCAGCACUGCUCUCAUCGAAUGACACAGAUUCAUACAAUACCAACAUCGAACAAUACCAACACUGAAAAACACACAACUACAAGUAUCUAUAGUAUGACAAAGGUUUUCACGAUAUUUAAGUACUGGAACACUCAGAUUUUUCAAUCCCAAUUCACGGAGAAGAAAGAGUUCUUCACAGAGAAGAGAGAACUCAACAGCUGGACCUUAAAGCCAGAAUAAACUCUCCAAAAUUCUGUCCAGUCAAAGAGUCACGCAAGAAUAUAUUUCUGGAAACAUCUAAAACCCAAUGAGCCGGCCAUCAAGACACCACAUGUCAAAAUCCAGAAGAAUGCCUCCACUAAGAAAGUUGUUAUUUCAAAACACGGCUUCAACAAAUUAUUUGGAAGAACAUUUAUAUUAAUGACAGGUCACGGGUUCAGGUCUC
RNAcentral lists this long non-coding RNA (696 nucleotides) under Olea europaea subsp. europaea. Lineage: Eukaryota; Viridiplantae; Streptophyta; Magnoliopsida; Lamiales; Oleaceae. The record is from RNAcentral.